GAGUUUGAUCCUGGCUCAGAUUGAACGCUGGCGGCAGGCCUAACACAUGCAAGUCGAGCGGUAGAGGGAAGCUUGCUUCUCUUGAGAGCGGCGGACGGGUGAGUAAUGCCUAGGAAUCUGCCUGGUAGUGGGGGAUAACGCUCGGAAACGGACGCUAAUACCGCAUACGUCCUACGGGAGAAAGCAGGGGACCUUCGGGCCUUGCGCUAUCAGAUGAGCCUAGGUCGGAUUAGCUAGUUGGUGAGGUAAUGGCUCACCAAGGCGACGAUCCGUAACUGGUCUGAGAGGAUGAUCAGUCACACUGGAACUGAGACACGGUCCAGACUCCUACGGGAGGCAGCAGUGGGGAAUAUUGGACAAUGGGCGAAAGCCUGAUCCAGCCAUGCCGCGUGUGUGAAGAAGGUCUUCGGAUUGUAAAGCACUUUAAGUUGGGAGGAAGGGCAGUAAAUUAAUACUUUGCUGUUUUGACGUUACCGACAGAAUAAGCACCGGCUAACUCUGUGCCAGCCGCCGACCG
RNAcentral lists this ribosomal RNA (517 nucleotides) under uncultured bacterium. RNAcentral's name for it is "bacterial SSU rRNA". It matches the Rfam family "Bacterial small subunit ribosomal RNA", at positions 9 to 520 of the family's 1533-position model. The record is from RNAcentral.